CAGAUGGAAUUCCAAAUGGUAGGAUGUACGCUUUGGGUGCGUGAGGCUGCAGGUUCGAUCCCUGCUCAUCUGA
Molecule: transfer RNA, 73 nt
Organism: Trichosporon asahii var. asahii CBS 8904
Lineage: Eukaryota; Fungi; Basidiomycota; Tremellomycetes; Trichosporonales; Trichosporonaceae
Rfam family: tRNA
About the family: Transfer RNA (tRNA) molecules are approximately 80 nucleotides in length. Their secondary structure includes four short double-helical elements and three loops (D, anti-codon, and T loops).
Source: Rfam